CUCAACGACCCAAUUCUGAUCUUUUCACCCAAAAGAAAAUCCAAUCUGUGCCACUUCCAUAUGUGGAACUAAUUCAGAUAAAUAUCUGAUUGUUUUCAAAAUUAAGAAAAAUGGACUUUGGAAACUAAUUUCUGUGUCGUUUCAAGGGAACACAGUUACUGACGGGAACUUCAUACGAACAACACAGAACCUGUUUGAGAAUCUGGACUCUUCAGAACUCACUUCACAAAAUCCAGUGAUCAGCAGCCUUCAGGUUCAGAGAGUCUCCAGCACCGCUUUGACAGAUUUACACAAAACUGCAGAAAGACCUUCAACCACAGCAGCAACAUCCAAACAAAUCAGGAUAUCAGCUCUUCCUCUGAUUGUCGGUGGAGUUGCCACGGCGACUGGUGUCUCAAUGGCCGUGUUUCUAAUUCUGCUUUACCAAUGGAGGACGAGAGCCAAUGCUGCAGACACGAGAACGUCAGACACAGAGGUGACGUAUGAAAACUGGGCACUAGGAUCCAGAUCUGAAGACUCCCACUACCAAAACCUUGAUCCAGCCAGUAUGGAUCAGGAACCAACUUAUUUAACUCUCACUUAGGACGCCAAGUUUUUACGACAUUCUCUUUAUUUGUGCUUUA
Poecilia reticulata (guppy) is the source of this 623-nucleotide RNA transcript. RefSeq lists it as uncharacterized. Lineage: Eukaryota; Metazoa; Chordata; Actinopteri; Cyprinodontiformes; Poeciliidae. The record is from RefSeq and is a predicted model, not a curated record.